GUGGGGAAUAUUGGACAAUGGGGGGAACCCUGAUCCAGCCAUGCCGCGUGUGUGAAGAAGGCCUUUUGGUUGUAAAGCACUUUAAGCGAGGAGGAGGCUACCGAGAUUAAUACUCUUGGAUAGUGGACGUUACUCGCAGAAUAAGCACCGGCUAACUCUGUGCCAGCAGCCGCGGUAAUACAGAGGGUGCAAGCGUUAAUCGGAUUUACUGGGCGUAAAGCGCGCGUAGGUGGCCAAUUAAGUCAAAUGUGAAAUCCCCGAGCUUAACUUGGGAAUUGCAUUCGAUACUGGUUGGCUAGAGUAUGGGAGAGGAUGGUAGAAUUCCAGGUGUAGCAGUGAAAUGCGUAGAGAUCUGGAGGAAUACCGAUGGCGAAGGCAGCCAUCUGGCCUAAUACUGACACUGAGGUGCGAAAGCAUGGGGAGCAAACAGGAUUAGAUACCCUGGUAGUCC
This 451-nucleotide ribosomal RNA is filed under the name uncultured bacterium. RNAcentral's name for it is "partial 16S ribosomal RNA". It matches the Rfam family "Bacterial small subunit ribosomal RNA", at positions 354 to 796 of the family's 1533-position model. The record is from RNAcentral.